AACAACUACAGUAGCUACUAUGAUAUAAGAACAGAAAGUACAAGUAAGGAACUAAUGUACAAGUAAUGAACUACUGCUACUGUAUGUAUGCAUCAACUGGUGGAUAGUCCAAAGAUACCCAAUCUAAACCUGCCUUGUUGGUCCGGAGACCUCAGGCUAAUGCCACAAUCACUCAACCUGCAUAUACACAGUCGUAACCUCUGAGCUCACGGGUGGGCAAGCCCAACCACUUUUUCGGAAAAGAACACCCCCUGCGGUGGAUCAGACCGCUGGUGUUCGUGAAAUGCGAACGAGUGGUGACGAUCGAUGCUGAUAUGCUCAAUAGCCAACCGUCGGCAACCAGCCGACAAUCACUGCCCCUCUGGGCAUACCGACCGUAUAGGUCAUCAAGUACAACGUGAACCGACCGAGAUAGGUCAAUGUACGUAAAGUAACGAACGACCAAACAGGUCACCGAUGCAACAGGAGAACCGACCAAUCAGGUCACAUGUAUAGUAUAUACUAAUGCCAUCUACUCUACCCCUACACAGAAUACUACGCAUAGGACAACCGGGCAGAGUAAAUAAAGACAGUAUGGUGCAAGGCUCAAUAUGUAAAGAGUAAGCAAUAUGACUAGACGAUGUAAAAGAUAGGGUAAAGGAAGACAUCACCGAGCGUGCACCACUGUACCGACUUCGGAUCGAAGUACCCACCUGUAUAAAGCUGAAACGGUCUCGCGAAGGCGGAGACGAAGCGACCGGACCUACGAAGGGUCCACCGGGUUAGAGUCUAACCCACAAACACAAUAACACGACCAUUCUCACACAAAUCCCAAAAUCAUAACCCCUCGGAAAUCGGUUUCUCAAACGCAACUUCCGAACCAGCCGGAAGUCCCGGAAACCGUACCGGAACUCCACCGUCGCUCACCCGUCGUUUCUGAACCCUCGAGACGACACGGGUGACCAGCCAACAAGGCUCAGCGACGCAACAAUCAACCACGAGGCACCGUCGGAUGAAUUCCGAGUCGAACACGCGUUCUAUCGGCGGAUUUCGCCGAAAAACGCUCCGGAAAUGACAGAUAGAUUUCCGCAAGGGCUUGGGGCCUUGGACGAUCAGUCCAGAGGUUAUCUUAAGCCUUAACCUGCUGCCAACAGCAGCCACAACGAAGCGAAACGCAAAAGGAUCCCUAAUGGCCCAUGAAAUCACAUUAUUUUAUGUGAUUUCAUGGCUCUAACGGGUCGUACCAGCAAACCAGGGAUCUACGGAGGUUGCCAUCGCACUUGCUGCAAGGUUUCAGCAUGCCUGAGGCCGUGCUCACCUUUCGGAGCACUGCCGGCAGCAACCACGCGCGCACGAGCGACGCGAACCUCAGCGAAUCAGUGCGCACACUGUGGAAAACAGCCUUUUCUUACUAACCAGGGCGUCAUUGGCCUAAAUGGAGGUGAGCAUCGUGUUCAGCACGAGCCCACGAUCACCGUGCUCACCUCCCGAGGUGCCAGGGAGUCAUCGGAUCA
RNAcentral lists this long non-coding RNA (1493 nucleotides) under Ananas comosus (pineapple). RNAcentral's name for it is "long non-coding RNA (ACOM_LNC001674)". The record is from RNAcentral. Lineage: Eukaryota; Viridiplantae; Streptophyta; Magnoliopsida; Poales; Bromeliaceae.